UUGAUUUUGUCUGAAGGGACUGAGAAUAUUUGUCUUACCUUAGAAUAUUAGUGAUGCAUUCAUAGGAUUCUUAAAUUCCCCAGUCAUUGUUACCAAGUGCUUCAUGUCCAUAGGAUCAACAACAGGCGUGCCUUCAGGCUGCUUCUCUCUUUUGCUCUUCAUCUGAGCUGACCUGGUCCUAGGAGUCUGUCCUGACUCACACCUGGCACAUGGUGUUUAUGGUGGUUGAGUGGGUAUCAGUCCUUUUUCCCGGGGGGGUGGCUUGGACUUGACUUUGUAUAUCAGAUUUGGCCUUUACUUGCCUUUGAACUCCCAAUAUCUGACCUCCAGUUGGUUCCUGCUUCUUCCUUUAACACCCCAGUGACACAGUGGCUGGAAGGAGCCUGUGUUGUUGUCUGUCCCCGGCAUUCUCAUCCAAGACCAAUCUACUAUACAGAAGUCCUUCAGGAACAUCUGGAGACAGUUCUGAUUGUCAGAACUGGGGGUUUUGGUGGUACUGGCAUCAACUAGACAGAAGUUAGGGAUGCUACUUGGCAUUCUCUGGUGUGUACGAUGACCCCUCCAACAAAGAAUGACUCCACAACAACGUCGACAGUGUUGAUGUGGGGAAACACUGCUCUGGAUCUGUCAGGGAGGACGGUUCCCUCAACAGAGGAGUUGCUAAUCUCCAACAGCUUUUCUGAAGUGUUCAUCUCUCUAUGACCAGCUAUUCUCCUAAUAGGAGCACAGGCUUUCUCCUUCUGACACAUCAUGGUUCAUGCAAACCAAGCCAAAAUUCCUCAAGAAGCAGGUGUCUUCCCCAGAGAUGUGCAAGAGCCUCAGUGUCCAGCUUAGCCAGCCCCAGAACUCCUCAUGCUGAUACCAGCAAUUCUCAGAGAGCAAUCCUUUGUUCCAGCGCCUGGGACCUUUACAAACAGC
Molecule: long non-coding RNA, 918 nt
Filed under: Marmota monax (woodchuck)
Lineage: Eukaryota; Metazoa; Chordata; Mammalia; Rodentia; Sciuridae
Source: RNAcentral